This 910-nucleotide ribosomal RNA is filed under the name Laccaria canaliculata. Its description in RNAcentral is "eukaryotic LSU rRNA". It matches the Rfam family "Eukaryotic large subunit ribosomal RNA", at positions 64 to 956 of the family's 3401-position model. Lineage: Eukaryota; Fungi; Basidiomycota; Agaricomycetes; Agaricales; Hydnangiaceae. The record is from RNAcentral.
ACUAACAAGGAUUCCCCUAGUAACUGCGAGUGAAGCGGGAAAAGCUCAAAUUUAAAAUCUGGCAGUCUUUGACUGUCCGAGUUGUAAUCUAGAGAAGCAUUAUCCGCGCUGGACCGUGUACAAGUCUCCUGGAAUGGAGCGUCAUAGAGGGUGAGAAUCCCGUCUUUGACACGGACUGCCAGGGCUUUGUGAUGUGCUCUCAAAGAGUCGAGUUGUUUGGGAAUGCAGCUCAAAAUGGGUGGUAAAUUCCAUCUAAAGCUAAAUAUUGGCGAGAGACCGAUAGCGAACAAGUACCGUGAGGGAAAGAUGAAAAGAACUUUGGAAAGAGAGUUAAACAGUACGUGAAAUUGCUGAAAGGGAAACGCUUGAAGUCAGUCGCGUUGGCCAGGAAUCAACCUUGCUUUUUUUUGCUUGGCUUACUUCCUGGUUAAUGGGUCAGCAUCAAUUUUGACUGGUGGAAAAAGUUCAAGGGAAUGUGGCAUCUUCGGAUGUGUUAUAGCCUUUGCUCGCAUACAUCAGUUGGGAUUGAGGAACUCAGCACGCCGCAAGGCCGGGUUUUUAACCACGUACGUGCUUAGGAUGCUGGCAUAAUGGCUUUAAUCGACCCGUCUUGAAACACGGACCAAGGAGUCUAACAUGCCUGCGAGUGUUUGGGUGGAAAACCCGAGCGCGUAAUGAAAGUGAAAGUUGAGAUCCCUGUCGUGGGGAGCAUCGACGCCCGGAUCUGACCUUUUGUGACGAUUCCGCGGUAGAGCAUGUAUGUUGGGACCCGAAAGAUGGUGAACUAUGCCUGAAUAGGGUGAAGCCAGAGGAAACUCUGGUGGAGGCUCGUAGCGAUUCUGACGUGCAAAUCGAUCGUCAAAUUUGGGUAUAGGGGCGAAAGACUAAUCGAACCAUCUAGUAGCUGGUC